UACAGAGGGGGCAAGCGUUGUUCGGAAUUACUGGGCGUAAAGGGCGCGUAGGCGGCCUUCUAAGUCGAACGUGAAAUCCCCGGGCUCAACCCGGGAACUGCGUCCGAUACUGGAAGGCUUGAAUCCGGGAGAGGGAUGUGGAAUUCCAGGUGUAGCGGUGAAAUGCGUGGAUAUCUGGAGGAACACCGGUGGCGAAGGCGACAUCCUGGACCGGUAUUGACGCUGAGGCGCGAAAGCCAGGGGAGCAAACGGG
RNAcentral lists this ribosomal RNA (253 nucleotides) under uncultured bacterium. RNAcentral's name for it is "partial 16S ribosomal RNA". It matches the Rfam family "Bacterial small subunit ribosomal RNA", at positions 524 to 776 of the family's 1533-position model. The record is from RNAcentral.